ACUGCUCAGUAACACGUGGAUAACCUGCCCUGCGGUGGGAAAUAACCCCGGGAAACUGGGGAUAAUGUCCCAUAGGCUACGGAUACUGGAAUGUUCUGUAGUCAAAAGAUUUAUCGCCACAGGAUGGGUCUGCGGCCGAUUAGGUAGUUGUUGGGGUAAAGGCCCAACAAGCCUUUGAUCGGUACGGGUUGUGGGAGCAAGAGCCCGGAGAUGGAUUCUGAGACACGAAUCCAGGCCCUACGGGGCGCAGCAGGCGCGAAAACUUUACAAUGCGGGAAACCGUGAUAAGGGAACUCCGAGUGUCCGUAAAUUCGGACUGUCCGUAUGUUAAAAAAGCAUACGAAGAAAGGGCCGGGCAAGACCGGUGCCAGCCGCCGCGGUAAUACCGGCGGCUCGAGUGGUGGCCACUAUUACUGGGCUUAAAGCGUUCGUAGCUUGGUUGUUAAGUCUCUUGGGAAAUCUAUCGGCUUAACCGAUAGGCGUCCAGGGGAUACUGGCAAUCUAGGGACCGGGAGAGGCGAGGGGUACUUCAGGGGUAGGAGUGAAAUCCUGUAAUCCUUGGGGGACCACCUGUGGCGAAGGCGCCUCACCAGAACGGCUCCGACAGUGAGGGACGAAAGCUGGGGGAGCAAACCGGAUUAGAUACCCGGGUAGUCCCAGCCGUAAACGAUGCACGUUAGGUGUAUCGAUGACCACGAGUCAUCGAGGUGCCGAAGGGAAACCGUGAAACGUGCCGCCUGGGAAGUACGGUCGCAAGGCUGAAACUUAAAGGAAUUGGCGGGGGAG
Molecule: ribosomal RNA, 786 nt
Filed under: uncultured archaeon
Lineage: Archaea
Description: bacterial SSU rRNA
Rfam family: Archaeal small subunit ribosomal RNA
Source: RNAcentral